GGCCGGUUAGCUCAGUCAGUUGAGCAUGGCGCUAGCAACGCUAAGGUCGCGGGUUCGAUUCCCAUUCAGACCC
RNAcentral lists this transfer RNA (73 nucleotides) under Apaloderma vittatum (bar-tailed trogon). It matches the Rfam family "tRNA". Rfam says of the family: Transfer RNA (tRNA) molecules are approximately 80 nucleotides in length. Their secondary structure includes four short double-helical elements and three loops (D, anti-codon, and T loops). Further hydrogen bonds mediate the characteristic L-shaped molecular structure. tRNAs have two regions of fundamental functional importance: the anti-codon, which is responsible for specific mRNA codon recognition, and the 3' end, to which the tRNAs corresponding amino acid is attached (by aminoacyl-tRNA synthetases). tRNAs cope with the degeneracy of the genetic code in two manners: having more than one tRNA (with a specific anti-codon) for a particular amino acid; and 'wobble' base-pairing, i.e. permitting non-standard base-pairing at the 3rd anti-codon position. The record is from Rfam by way of RNAcentral. Lineage: Eukaryota; Metazoa; Chordata; Aves; Trogoniformes; Trogonidae.